This is a non-coding RNA of Vicia faba (fava bean), 159 nucleotides long. The record is from the annotation of a GenBank genome assembly. Lineage: Eukaryota; Viridiplantae; Streptophyta; Magnoliopsida; Fabales; Fabaceae.
AUGGUAUGGUUGUUAUCUCUAUUCACAAAGGCGACUCAAAUUCCUCUUGACAAUCUCAGUUUGAAGCACCGCCAGCUCCUUUGGGCAUUAUCCGCUCCGAAUUCAUUCUCACGUCAUGUUCUCUAUCGCGGAUCCAAGACUUCAAAACAGAAUUUGUAG